RNAcentral lists this ribosomal RNA (761 nucleotides) under uncultured Lactobacillus sp. RNAcentral's name for it is "bacterial SSU rRNA". It matches the Rfam family "Bacterial small subunit ribosomal RNA", at positions 736 to 1502 of the family's 1533-position model. The record is from RNAcentral. Lineage: Bacteria; Bacillati; Bacillota; Bacilli; Lactobacillales; Lactobacillaceae.
GUAACUGACGCUGAGGCUCGAAAGUAUGGGUAGCAAACAGGAUUAGAUACCUGGUAGUCCAUACCGUAAACGAUGAAUGCUAAGUGUUGGAGGUUUCCCCUUCAGUGCUGCAGCUAACGCAUUAAGCAUUCCGCUGGGGAGUACGGCCGCAAGGCUGAAACUCAAAGGAAUUGACGGGGGCCCGCACAAGCGGUGGAGCAUGUGGUUUAAUUCGAAGCUACGCGAAGAACCUUACCAGGUCUUGACAUACUAUGCAAAUCUAAGAGAUUAGACGUUCCCUUCGGGGACAUGGAUACAGGUGGUGCAUGGUUGUCGUCAGCUCGUGUCGUGAGAUGUUGGGUUAAGUCCCGCAACGAGCGCAACCCUUAUUAUCAGUUGCCAGCAUUAAGUUGGGCACUCUGGUGAGACUGCCGGUGACAAACCGGAGGAAGGUGGGGAUGAUGUCAAAUCAUCAUGCCCCUUAUGACCUGGGCUACACACGUGCUACAAUGGAUGGUACAACGAGUUGCGAACUCGCGAGAGUAAGCUAAUCUCUUAAAGCCAUUCUCAGUUCGGAUUGUAGGCUGCAACUCGCCUACAUGAAGUCGGAAUCGCUAGUAAUCGCGGAUCAGCAUGCCGCGGUGAAUACGUUCCCGGGCCUUGUACACACCGCCCGUCACACCAUGAGAGUUUGUAACACCCAAAGUCGGUGGGGUAACCUUUAGGAACCAGCCGCCUAAGGUGGGACAGAUGAUUAGGGUGAAGUCGUAACAAGGUAACCA